CAAUUUAAAGCUUAAAAAGUAAAGUGUUUUAUUUACAUUAAAAAGAAAAAUGUGCAAUUCAUUUUAAAUUGA
RNAcentral lists this transfer RNA (72 nucleotides) under Endochironomus pekanus. RNAcentral's name for it is "tRNA-Val". It matches the Rfam family "tRNA". Rfam says of the family: Transfer RNA (tRNA) molecules are approximately 80 nucleotides in length. Their secondary structure includes four short double-helical elements and three loops (D, anti-codon, and T loops). Further hydrogen bonds mediate the characteristic L-shaped molecular structure. tRNAs have two regions of fundamental functional importance: the anti-codon, which is responsible for specific mRNA codon recognition, and the 3' end, to which the tRNAs corresponding amino acid is attached (by aminoacyl-tRNA synthetases). tRNAs cope with the degeneracy of the genetic code in two manners: having more than one tRNA (with a specific anti-codon) for a particular amino acid; and 'wobble' base-pairing, i.e. permitting non-standard base-pairing at the 3rd anti-codon position. The record is from RNAcentral. Lineage: Eukaryota; Metazoa; Arthropoda; Insecta; Diptera; Chironomidae.